UAAGACUUAUAAGUGAUUAACCUAUAUCCUUUGAAUGCAACUCAAGCACUUUAAUUAAGCUAAAGCCUUU
RNAcentral lists this transfer RNA (70 nucleotides) under Anolis lionotus. RNAcentral describes it as "tRNA-Ala". Lineage: Eukaryota; Metazoa; Chordata; Lepidosauria; Squamata; Anolidae. RNAcentral also lists the same sequence under 1 other name. The record is from RNAcentral.